This is a long non-coding RNA of Lynx canadensis (Canada lynx), 841 nucleotides long. RefSeq lists it as uncharacterized. The record is from RefSeq and is a predicted model, not a curated record. NCBI's taxonomy places the organism in Eukaryota, Metazoa, Chordata, Mammalia, Carnivora, Felidae. The transcript has 2 exons.
GAGCCCCACGUUGGGUGCAGAGAUUAAAAAUAAAAUCCUUAAAAAAAUUUUUUUUUCAUUUUGAAAUAGUGAUAUAUUCUGACAAUAUACUAUAAUGUUUUUGCUCUUAGAUUCCACAUUUUCCAAAGAAUUAUGACACCAGUCAUUAUAUGUUAAUUUUUACCUUAUGAUCACGGUGAACCAGCUCAGGCCUUCUCAGAUGGACCGCUGGCUGACGGCACCCUAACAGCCCAGUUCCAGCACAGGCAGGAUCGAGGGAAGAGGAGGGUUCCUCCGGCUUCACAAGACACAGCAGUAUAACCAUUUUCCCUCAUUCAGAACAAGACUGUUGAGCUGAUCUGGAAAAGAGAUCUGCCAUUGUCAACAUGCUAACAAAUUCAGCCUGCUCCACUGUAUAACCUCAGGAAGAGACAGUGACAAUCCCUGGGGAUAAAAUACUGCUCUUCAGAAUAUGUGAUCUUUUUUAGGUUCUUGAUAUUCUACCUUGUUCCAGAAAGGAUUUAAAGGGCAACACAUCAGGCUAGUGACUACAGCAUUGCCAGUUAACAACGGUUCUGAUGUCCAGCUCCCUGCCCCAGACCCUGGGCUGGUUUCCUGGUGAGUGUUCCCAGGGAACCUCAAACCAGACAGACUGCAUUCCAGACCACUCUGGGCUGAAAGCAUAGCGCACACAAGAUGGCCACAGGAAGUCAAGUGCCACAGUAGAUGCAAAAGGAAGAAUCCUUGCCCUCCAGCCCCUAACUUCCUAAGAGUCAAGAUCUGCAACCAAGUUCAUUUCCUGAGCUUGUCCUAUCUCACGUGCUUUCCAGGAGUAUUAAAUGAGAUAACAAGGAAAAGCCUA